UACGAAGGGUGCAAACGUUGCUCGGAAUUAUUGGGCGUAAAGCGCACGUAGGCGGCUUUGCAAGUCGGAUGUGAAAUCCCUCGGCUCAACCAAGGAAGUGCAUCCGAAACUGCAGAGCUUGAGUACCAAAGAGGAUCGCGGAAUUCCCGGUGUAGAGGUGAAAUUCGUAGAUAUCGGGAGGAACACCAGUGGCGAAGGCGACUACCUGGCCUGUUCUUGACGCUGAGGCGCGAAAGCUAGGGGAGCAAACGGG
RNAcentral lists this ribosomal RNA (253 nucleotides) under uncultured bacterium. Its description in RNAcentral is "partial 16S ribosomal RNA". It matches the Rfam family "Bacterial small subunit ribosomal RNA", at positions 524 to 776 of the family's 1533-position model. The record is from RNAcentral.